Molecule: long non-coding RNA, 6339 nt
Organism: Manis pentadactyla (Chinese pangolin)
Lineage: Eukaryota; Metazoa; Chordata; Mammalia; Pholidota; Manidae
Exons: 3
Source: RefSeq, a predicted model, not a curated record
ACCUUUGCUCCAGAUGCCAACUAUUUGAAAAUAUUUUAACAGAAACUGCUCCUGUUAUUUAUUUUAUUUAUAGAGUAAGACACUGAAAGGAUCUAUACAUUUUUUCUGUUGUUCAUAGGAUCCUUGAGGAAGGAACCAAAGGAGCGUGAGGAAGUUGUCUUGUCCUGGGUGGUGCCUCAAAGGCCUUUCUCACCUGCCUGAGUUCAGGGCUCCGGUAGGGUAAGGGCUGAGCAACAGCCAUUUCUAGGGGAUGCCACUGCAUUCCAGAGGAGGGUAGCUGGCAGAAGGGAGUGCCCAGUUUGUGGGAGCCUCGCCUGCCCCGCCCUGUUAGGCGAAUUAGUUCAUUAUCGAAAAGUGCUUGGGAAGCACAAAGGUCUGGAGAGCCUCCACGCGCUGCUGCGCAGGCCUGUGCGGGAGCCGGGAUCUCUGAGCCGCGGAGGCCCGUCUCAGAGCCUGCGGAUCCGGGACGGUUCUCUCCUGCUGUGGUGAGGUCCUUCCAGGGUGCGUCUAGGAUGCAGAGACAGCUCCAGAGAGUUCUUACCACGGCAUUCUAUCUCAAGACAGAAGUUAAGUGUAUUUUGUGAUAGGAUUUGUAAGACAUUUAGAUAAAUGAACCAACCAGAUUUUAAUUUUGUUUUCUUGCCUUAAUUUUUUUGGUGAUUUUUAAGCUUUACAUUCAUACAUAAACAAGAUCAUAUCACAUGUUCUCUUCUGUGACUUACAUUUUUUUAAUUGAACAAUGUUCCCUGGAGCUCCUUCUGUGUUAGUACACAGAGGCUUCCCCCAUUUUCUUUAACAGUUACAUUCCUUCCAGACUGUAUGACUGUAUUAACAGGUUUUUACCUACUGUUCUAACGAAGGACUCAUUGGUGGUUUGCCAUUUUUCACCAUUACAAACAAUACUACAGCAAACAUUCCUGUACACAAAUUUGUGUGCUUAUAAUAUAAAUAUUUCUGAAGGAUAUACUCCUGGAAGUGGGAUUUCUGGACCAAAUGGCAUGCACAUUUAAGUUUUUGGUAAAUACCACAGAUCUCUUAAAAAAUCUAACUUAUCUAGCCACCAUUAUCCCCUUCAACACUGUACAUUAUCGAUUUUUUAAAAAAUUGCUAGCAUCAUGUGCAGAAAAAGCUGUAUCAUUUACAAUUGCGUUUCUCUGAUUUACCAGUUGAGAUGUAUAUCUUUUCAUAUGCCUAUUGGCUCUUUGGAUUUCUUUGAACAUUUUCCUUGAAGUAUAAAAAUACAGAAAAGGUACACAAGUCUUAAGACUACUGCUGAAUGAAUACAAGGUGAACACUUCUUGUAACCACCACCCAGGUCAAGAAAUAGAAUACUGUCCGACCUUUCCCCACCUCCCCAAAAGUUAUCACUAUCCUGACAUCUAGUUCCUAUGAAUUAGUCAUGCCUGUUUUUGAACUUCAUACAAAUGAAAUCAUACAACACGAACUCUUUUGCAUCUGGUUUCUUUCACUCAACAUUAAGUUUAUGAGUCAUUCAUGUACUUGUCUGUAGUUGUAAUAUAUUCAUUUACAUUGCUGAUUAUGUUUCAUUUUGUGAAUAUACCGCACUUUAUUUAAUAAUGAACAUUUGGAUUAUUUCCAACAUUUAGCCAUUAGCAAAUAAUGAUGCUAUGAACAUUCUUGGGCAUGUCUUUUAGAGUACAUGUGCAUACAUUUCUGUUGGGCAUAUGUCUAGGAAUGAAAUUUUGAAGUCAUGAGCAAUGUUCUUCAACCUGGCCCAUUAUAUUUGUGAAUUUCCUAUGAAAAUUCCUUGCACAUUAAUUAUUGGAUGGUUUGUGUUUAAUUACUGAUUAGUGUGUGUUCUAUUUAUUCUGGAUGUUAAUUCUGUAUUAUAUCUGUUGGAAAUAUUUUAACUAGUCUUUAUUUAUAUUGCCUUUUAUUUCACAAAGUUUAAAAUUUGGGGGCAAUAAAAUCUGUAAAUCUUUUUCUUUAUUUGAUUUAUUCCAUUUCUGGGUUUGAUGACUUGCUUAGAAAGUCCUUCCCUAUCUCUAUUUUGUAAAUAUUCUCUUAUGUUUCCUUUAAUAUUCAUUUUACUUUUAUUUUCACUUUAGGCUUUUUAAUCAGUCUGAAAUUUAUUAUGUGAGGGUGAGAGACAGAGGCUAAUUCAUUAGCCCUUAGGGGAUGAAUAAAAUUAUACUAGUUGCUGCCUUGAUUUUUUUAAUACUUAUUUUUAAAAAUCUCAAGACAGAUGAUAACAUCAAUGAGCUAAGAAACUGUCAAAAUUUUAUUAUUUUUAUUUAAACUUCAGAAUAGUCCCCCCUAAGUUAAACCUGAGUUAGAUUCUAAAUGGGGUAAGUUUUCUAAAUCAGUGCUUGCCACCCAAAAGGCCAUGCAUAUAAAUGGUCAAUAGUUAUUUAGUCAUUUACUAUGUAUUUAUGGAACUUUAAUGUGCAGCUCUCAUGGACUCAUGUGUCUAAUGAGGAAAAAGAGCCUAUUCUGGAAUCCUUAAGCGAGCUUGACUGCACCAUUGCAUCUGAGCUCUCCAGUCAGGAAAAUCACAGCUGCUUGCUCUUAAGGCCCCAGCUCCUCCCAAUCUGAGUCGAUGUCCCCAAAUGGAUUAUGUACUAAGUCUAUCCUCACUUAGACAAAAGUCCAGUUCGAACUUUAUAGCAAAUCCCCAGGGCCGGCUUUUGGUUAUAGACAUGAUUUCCUCAGGCAAGACUGCCCACUUAAGGAAAACUAUUUUCUUGGCAGGCUGGUGAUCAACGUAGGGUCACAUAUGGCAGAAGUAUGUCUGAACUCAGUCUGUUCUUCCCCUUUGUCUGAAAUGGAGCUGGCUUUUCGUGCCUGUUAAGCAUCAGUGCUCACUGAGGAAUACUUGUAUGCAGACUCUCCAGUCGCUCACAGCAUGAGGCAGUUUUGUUCUGCUCACCCCUCCUCUCUCCUUUUGCUUUACACAUUUUUGGGAAGGCCAGAUUACUUGCGAUUUAGUUAAUGUGUUAUGGGACUGGAGUCUGAGCUAGGGUGGAGGGAAGACACAUCCCUUUUAGAAUGACAAAGAGCAUGGUUUUUAGACUGGUGAGCCGCACGUGCAACUGUGAACUGUCUGGGCUGAUUUGCUUGGAAAUUGCUGUGCUGGCCAAGCUCCAGAAAUGUAAUCCACAGUGGCCUGAAAUCACAAGUUUUGCUGCUUGCAUUCUUAGUUUCACAAUUUAAGGAUUUGGCUGGUGCCUGUCCUGAAAGCAUGGGAUUUUCUACUGUUUGUGCACACAUGCCAUUGAGUGUGUGUGUGUGCUUGUGUGUGUGUGUGCAGUGCACACGGGCUUGUCUGCACAGGCAUAUUUUACAGCUGAACUCUUUAUACCUAUGGGGAGGCAGUAAUUAAGGAACACAGUAUAUGGCAGAUUUUCUUUGAUUUCAAGAAAAGCAUGUGUGGAUUUGUAGGUUACUGUUUUGGGAGAAAUGUGAUGGAGAAUCUUACGUGUAAGUGCAAUUGAUUCACUAGCUAAAAGACCUUGCCUCAAAAUAUCUGAGGAUAAUUUACUUAGGAGAAUUCAACAUGCCACUUUUUUUUUGAGGAACAGGUGUAAUGACCACAUUUGGGGGGAAGUGAAGACCUGAGCUUUGAGGAAGUCAAGCCUGAGGCCGUGAGCAGCAGUUAUUUAUAUCACUGUGAUGUGUAUUGAAAGCCUGUGACUUUCAUUCCACCACAGUCACGGAAGUAGUUUAGAGAAGAGGAUGGGCGUACAUUUUGCCUUGUUAAUCAUCUACCACACUAAGAGCUUCUGGUGUGGUUCAGAUUUCUGGUAAUCUGUACCCUGGCUCUACUGCCAACAAAAGGGUGCUUACUUGCUCUUCCUCAGCCUACUCUGUGGAGAAAAUGGCUCACUUCCGAAUGGUUGAUAGAUGUGUGAAAUCAUUCCUGCUUCCUUUCCCAAGAUGACCCCUGUGUGAGCAUCCUGGUGUGUGUGUUUGAGGGGAGGGAGGGAAUUUUCAUUGUCUCUAAGCUCAAAAUAAAGACACUGGACUCUAACAACCAACGAAAACAGAACAUUAGGAACUCUUGUGUUUGCUAUUAUAAUAAAUGAAGCCUCAUGUAACUAACUUCCAUUUUUCUCUCUUGAGUUGUAAAGCCACUCCCCACCCCCACCAACACCCACAGCCCCAGGCUCUUUUGGUUGUGGGAAAUGAGUAUGUUUGGGGACAAACAUGUCAGAAUUAUGAGGGAGAAACUUGGCAGGGAAACAAACUAUGCAAUAUGCUUGACAAGAAUUGAGAAACAAUACAUCUCAGAUUUUCUGAGAAUGUCUCAAUUUUUGGUUCAGAAAUAUGACCCAGAGGCUACAGAAAGGGAAUUACCGUUGCAGCUCCAUUCAGGACAUGAACAGGCAGUCUUAAAUGAGGAGCCAGCACCGGGUAUUUCAGCACAGAAAGAUGAGGUGUCUGUAGGUGAGGGACUUGGUCCUGCUUCCACCAGGGGUACGUGGAAAUUGAAAAGAGAGAACUUGUGGACUUUUGCUUUAAAUAAGAAAACCAGGAGGUAGAUGCCCACAAAGCAAAAUACCCAGAAUGGUAGAGCAGUAAGGAAAUGCUAGGUGGCGGGAAACACGAGCAUGUUUGCCUAAAUGUUGAGAUUUUUCUGGGCUCGCCUGAUCUCAGUCCUUUGGAGUUUUCCUUUUAUGAGGGUAAACAUGGUUUAAUAGUGAGCAAAUACUAGUUCAGAUAAUUAAAACCUGUUGAGUUGGACAGGAAACAUUCAAGGGAAAUAUGCAGGUGCCUGCAAGCAAGGGUGACACCAGGAGGGUCUCGGUAUGUCGGCUCCCUCUCCCCCAGGAGGAGCGUCCCUGGAAUGAAGCCACACACAGCUGGAGAGGAAACAGACGACUUGUAAAAAACAGGAGCAGGGUGGAAACGUUCUGAACGUAUUUAUACGCUGUGAGCCCUGGGGAGAGUGUAAGAGGCAUCUGGGGUAUUUGCAUUUUUGUUCGUUGGAGGGAGGAUGGUGUCUCCCAACUCUCUCUCUCAUUCAUUCAGGACAUGGGAUUUCCAAGACUGUUGCCAUCUUAGAGUUUGUGUUUUCAGCUUCACUCCAGGUGUCACCACACAUAUUAAAGAAAGAUAGUUCUAGGAUGACUUAAAACAGAGAAGCCAGCCUGAAGUUCAAUUUUGGACCAUAGAUGCAUUUUUCUUCCGGAGGGAGCCAUGUGAUUUCUCCCGUCCUCACCAUCCUGCAUUCUUUUCAUUCCAAGGCCUGGUCACAUCAGGACAGAAGCCCUCAUCCUCAGGCCCUUGUUGAUGAAUGGGAGGCAUGCCCUGCUUAAGUUUUUUCCAAACCAGAGCAGAGACUAAUGGGUAUGUAACUCACCAUAAUCCAUGGCAAGGGAAAACUUUUGGGUGUUUGAAUGAAGUGCCAUAUCUGGAAAUGCAGAAGAUAAUUGCUUUUAUUGAGUGCUUACUAUGUCCUUGAUAUUAAGAACAAUGUUUUGCCUAUAUUCUCUCUUAAUGUCAUCAGCUUUACAAGGUGCUGGAGCUACCUCAGGAGAGCCCAGAAAUACUCCACUGCCUGCCAGUGCUUCUCAAAAUGUGUUCUCAGCAUCCCAAUCAGAAAUGUCUAGGGAGCUGUUAAAAGGUACAGAUCAACUGAAUCAGAGUUUCCAGUGGUGGGGCCUAGGAAUCUGUGUCUCACAAGCAUUACUGGUGUUGGUAACCACACAGCCAAGUGGGAGAGAAACUGCGCUGACAUGUAUGCCUCUUCAGAGCAGGGAUCCUGUGGAAUUGCCCUCUGUUAGCCCCGGGGCACCUGGCACAGUGGUGUACAGCAGACAGAGGUGUUUGGUGAGUUCAAUGCAGAAAUGUAUUUCUUAGGAAGGAAGUGAGAGCAGGGGAGGUAGGAAAAGAGAGAUCAUGGGUGUGGAAGACAGGGUGGCUUGAGGGCUUUUGCAGGAGAUGGGAAAUCUCAGGCUGACUUGAGAUGCCCACUCUUGGGGUCCUUUGAGUGCUACCAAUAGAUAUUAAGGUGAUGUCUUUCCUUUUUUCUUUUUUUCCCCCACAGAUGUGUGCUUUAGUCCUGGGAAUUUUUUUUGAAACUUAAACUUUCAAUUCCAGAAUGAGUAAUUGUGUAUAAAGUGGGUCACAAGGAAGUGAUAACUAAUGCACAGACUAUUUUAACUGCUGAAUCAGAAAUCUCUGUGCUGCAUUUUGAAAUAUGCAGGAAGGAAAAUACGCAGAUGAUAGCAGUGGAAGGAAUCCUAAAAUAAUAUUUUCACAAACAAAUUCUGGCCCAACAUACCCCUUGGGGUUUGGGGUGCACCAAUGAUAACACACUCCUGAGAGGUGAAGAAUUGGAAUAAAACUGCCAAACCAGAAAUCUUUCCAAAGGAC